AUUGAACGCUGGCGGCAUGCUUUACACAUGCAAGUCGAACGGUAACAGGCCUUCGGGUGCUGACGAGUGGCGAACGGGUGAGUAAUGCAUCGGAACGUGCCCAAUCGUGGGGGAUAACGUAGCGAAAGUUACGCUAAUACCGCAUAAGCCCUGAGGGGGAAAUGGGGGACCGCAAGGCCUCACGCGAAUGGAGCGGCCGAUGUCAGAUUAGCUAGUUGGUGGGGUAAAGGCCCACCAAGGCGACGAUCUGUAGCGGGUCUGAGAGGAUGAUCCGCCACACUGGAACUGAGACACGGUCCAGACUCCUACGGGAGGCAGCAGUGGGGAAUUUUGGACAAUGGGGGGCAACCCUGAUCCAGCCGUGCCGCGUGAGUGAAGAAGGCCUCGG
This 388-nucleotide ribosomal RNA is filed under the name uncultured bacterium. RNAcentral's name for it is "bacterial SSU rRNA". It matches the Rfam family "Bacterial small subunit ribosomal RNA", at positions 29 to 420 of the family's 1533-position model. The record is from RNAcentral.